CCCGGGCGGACGAGCACGAACACACGUAUCAAGAUAAAGAGGAAGUUGUCUUAUGGAUGAAUACUGUUGGUCCCUACCAUAAUCGUCAAGAAACAUAUAAGUACUUUUCACUUCCAUUCUGUGUGGGGUCAAAAAAAAGUAUCAGUCAUUACCAUGAAACUCUGGGAGAAGCACUUCAAGGGGUUGAAUUGGAAUUUAGUGGUCUGGAUAUUAAAUUUAAAGGUAAGUAAACCUUAAUAGUCCUUACAAUGCAAUUUGGAUUGUAGACAAGGGUUUCAUAUUUUGGCACUAUUGACACUGGUGUUGGAUAAUUCUUUGUUGUAUGGAGCUGUUAUGUACAUGUUAGGAUGUCUAGCAGAGUCCCUGGCCUGUACCCCCCAGAUGCCAGUAGCACCUUCCAGUUGUGAAAACCAAAAAAGUCACCAGACAUUGCUAAUUGCUGUCAGUUGAGAACCACUACUUUAGACUCUAAAAUGUGUUUUAGUCUGUAAAUGAGGUGUAUUGCAUUUAG
RNAcentral lists this small RNA (511 nucleotides) under Pan troglodytes (chimpanzee). Its description in RNAcentral is "processed transcript". Lineage: Eukaryota; Metazoa; Chordata; Mammalia; Primates; Hominidae. The record is from RNAcentral.